GAUGAACGCUGGCGGCGUGCCUAAUACAUGCAAGUCGAGCGAACAGACGAGGAGCUUGCUCCUCUGACGUUAGCGGCGGACGGGUGAGUAACACGUGGAUAACCUACCUAUAAGACUGGGAUAACUUCGGGAAACCGGAGCUAAUACCGGAUAAUAUAUUGAACCGCAUGGUUCAAUAGUGAAAGACGGUUUUGCUGUCACUUAUAGAUGGAUCCGCGCCGCAUUAGCUAGUUGGUAAGGUAACGGCUUACCAAGGCGACGAUGCGUAGCCGACCUGAGAGGGGGAUCGGCCACCCAGGAACUGAGACACGGUCCAGACUCCUACGGGAGGCAGCAGUAGGGAAUCUUCCGCAAUGGGCGAAAGCCUGACGGAGCAACGCCGCGUGAGUGAUGAAGGUCUUCGGAUCGUAAAACUCUGUUAUUAGGGAAGAACAAAUGUGUAAGUAACUAUGCACGUCUUGACGGUACCUAAUCAGAAAGCCACGGCUAACUACGUG
Molecule: ribosomal RNA, 497 nt
Filed under: uncultured bacterium
Lineage: Bacteria
Description: partial 16S ribosomal RNA
Rfam family: Bacterial small subunit ribosomal RNA
Source: RNAcentral